UCCUUCCGGUAGCUGGGUACUCUAGCUCCGGCCUAGCAACCCGAGCCCUGCCCAGGGUUGCAUAGCAACAUCCCUAGAUCCUAGCAACCACCGGACACGCCCCCUAGCAACGUCACGCCUAAACUGUGCUGCGGGUCCUUGCGGGCAAGGGGCUUGUGAACUAAGGCCAGAAUGUGAGUGGGGGGCGUGUAGCUCAGCUCCCGCUUCUGAGCAGGCCGCAGGAUUUCGCGGUCCACCCGGAGCCCUCUCCUGGAGAGUGAAGUGUUAAAGGACUGAGCUAACAUCCCCAUUUACAGAGGGGCAAACUGAAGUUCAGAAAGGAAGGCCCUCCCCAGAGGCCACAGCUUGUUCUUCCCUGCACGCCCUGGAGAGAGCAACCCCGGGCCUUGAGAGGAGGGAUGUAUUGCCCUCUUCCUAUCCCGACAGCGUAAGGAAAACCACUCAAGUUGCAGACUUCGAUUCAAGCUGCAGUUCAGCAGGGUCGACAGCGAAGUUCACACGGGUGGAUUUACAGAAACGCAAUCUCUAGGUGCCUGUCCCCUGGAACCCACUUCUCUCCCUCUCCGCUGCCUGGUCCUGCCUGCUCUCCCAUCACCUAUCCUUCCGCUCAGUUCAGAAUAUUUGGGAAAUGCUCCCAGAUGCUCUCAUGGCAACAGCUGUGCUCUGGGGCAGUGAUGGUUUGGCACCAGUGACUGGAGACUAUCUUGUGAACCUUCCUCCGAACAGUGCUGGACACAGCUGUCUUUGGAAGCCCUUCUUUGGGGAGCAGCACAGCCAGCAACAGACUUGAGACACGCAGCCCAGAAAGGCCAAUCAAUUUGUACCACAAAGGGACAGUCAACCCCAGAGUCCCCAGCCCUCCUCCCCAGAUGCCUUCCCUGGAAUAAUCACUACACAGAAGCCAGACUUCACCCAGCACAGCUUUGGUGAAACACCUGUCCCUCCUGUCAUUAGUGACAUUCUCAAUUUGUAGGUCUUGUCUCUGUUCAGCUGCCCCUAGGUCAAAUGUGGCUAUCCCAAAGUUUCUAUGCAGCAGUGUCUAACUGGACAGGCAGUGUGAAGAGCCACUUUCUGGAGCCAAGCUGCCCGGGUGUGAAGCUGGCUCUAUGACUUUGGGCAAGUCAUUUGCCUUUUCCCUAACUCGGUUUCCUCAUCUGUGAAAUAGAGAAUCUAAGAUCACUGUUCUGAUAGGGCUAUUUUGAGAUUAAAAGAAUUCAUCUAGGUAAAGAGCUGCGGCGCACAUGCUUAUCACGUUUGAGGCCCAAAGUUCAACGCCUUGCCCCAAAAAAAGAGGAGGAAGAAAAAGAUGACUUCAUCUAGGUAAAGCAUUUAGAACCAUGGCUGGCACACAGUAAGCAACAUUCAAGUAUAAGCUGCUAUUAUUUUGGCAGUGCUAAGGCUCAACCCCAACCACAUGCACACAUACCAGGCAAG
Molecule: long non-coding RNA, 1434 nt
Organism: Fukomys damarensis (Damara mole-rat)
Lineage: Eukaryota; Metazoa; Chordata; Mammalia; Rodentia; Bathyergidae
Exons: 5
Source: RefSeq, a predicted model, not a curated record